This 496-nucleotide ribosomal RNA is filed under the name uncultured bacterium. RNAcentral's name for it is "partial 16S ribosomal RNA". It matches the Rfam family "Bacterial small subunit ribosomal RNA", at positions 29 to 507 of the family's 1533-position model. The record is from RNAcentral.
AUGAACGCUGGCGGCGUGCCUAAUACAUGCAAGUCGAGCGAACGGACGAGAAGCUUGCUUCUCUGAUGUUAGCGGCGGACGGGUGAGUAACACGUGGAUAACCUACCUAUAAGACUGGGAUAACUUCGGGAAACCGGAGCUAAUACCGGAUAAUAUUUUGAACCGCAUGGUUCAAAAGUGAAAGACGGUCUUGCUGUCACUUAUAGAUGGAUCCGCGCUGCAUUAGCUAGUUGGUAAGGUAACGGCUUACCAAGGCAACGAUGCAUAGCCGACCUGAGAGGGUGAUCGGCCACACUGGAACUGAGACACGGUCCAGACUCCUACGGGAGGCAGCAGUAGGGAAUCUUCCGCAAUGGGCGAAAGCCUGACGGAGCAACGCCGCGUGAGUGAUGAAGGUCUUCGGAUCGUAAAACUCUGUUAUUGGGGAAGAACAUAUGUGUAAGUAACUGUGCACAUCUUGACGGUACCUAAUCAGAAAGCCACGGCUAACUAAGUG